UAUUUGACUGGCAACUUGCUAAUGGGAGAACUGCUUGAUUGGAUGCGACAGAUGUUACUUGACAACGGAUAUCUUUCUUUACAUAGCCUGUAUCCUCCUGCCUAAUUCCAAUGCCGCUUCUGUUCAUCUUAAAUGUUUAUUAAACCUCGUCGAAUAUAAUCUUAUAAUGCUUAUUGUUGACCACAUAUUGAUCUUGGAGUGGAGUUGUUCCAUGCUUGAAGAGCUUCAAUUGUCCAAAAUGAGGACUACAAAAGGAAUUCUUUUAUGGAGGCUGAUUUGAUAUGUUCAAACAUAAUACAAAGUAUGGAAAGGAAGUUGCAGGUAGCAAUUGAAGCUAUUGAGUGUGGUAAGAGCACCCUGGUAUUUACCUUAAGCAGUAUGGUAUGAGACUUGUAAAAUGUUGCAGGUAGCAGGAGUUUUUAUGGUGGUCAUGGUUGUGGAUUUUAUUAUUUUAGAUCAUUAAUGUGGUCUUGAAUUUUGCUUAUUUUGGAUAAUGAAUGUGUGGAUUUGCUGAAUUCAUUUGAGAAAUGAGCUGGAAAAACGGAUGAACAAUUUAAUAUUCAAUGCAUCAUCAAGAUGGGGCCUACAGUGACAGUAUCUUCUCCUAUUUUGAUCAAACCAACUGCCAUGCUGGAUGUGAUUAC
Magnolia sinica is the source of this 644-nucleotide long non-coding RNA. RefSeq lists it as uncharacterized. The record is from RefSeq and is a predicted model, not a curated record. The transcript is spliced from 3 exons. Lineage: Eukaryota; Viridiplantae; Streptophyta; Magnoliopsida; Magnoliales; Magnoliaceae.